This 449-nucleotide ribosomal RNA is filed under the name uncultured bacterium. RNAcentral's name for it is "partial 16S ribosomal RNA". It matches the Rfam family "Bacterial small subunit ribosomal RNA", at positions 354 to 795 of the family's 1533-position model. The record is from RNAcentral.
GUGGGGAAUAUUGGACAAUGGGCGAAAGCCUGAUCCAGCCAUGCCGCGUGUGUGAAGAAGGUCUUCGGAUUGUAAAGCACUUUAAGUUGGGAGGAAGGGCAGUAAGUUAAUACCUUGCUGUUUUGACGUUACCGACAGAAUAAGCACCGGCUAACUUCGUGCCAGCAGCCGCGGUAAUACGAAGGGUGCAAGCGUUAAUCGGAAUUACUGGGCGUAAAGCGCGCGUAGGUGGUUUUGUAAGUUGGAGGUGAAAUCCCCGGGCUCAACCUGGGAACUGCCUCCAAAACUGCAUGACUAGAGUACGGUAGAGGGUAGUGGAAUUUCCUGUGUAGCGGUGAAAUGCGUAGAUAUAGGAAGGAACACCAGUGGCGAAGGCGACUACCUGGACUGAUACUGACACUGAGGUGCGAAAGCGUGGGGAGCAAACAGGAUUAGAAACCCUAGUAUCC